This 2902-nucleotide ribosomal RNA is filed under the name Escherichia coli. RNAcentral's name for it is "bacterial LSU rRNA". It matches the Rfam family "Bacterial large subunit ribosomal RNA". The record is from RNAcentral. Lineage: Bacteria; Pseudomonadati; Pseudomonadota; Gammaproteobacteria; Enterobacterales; Enterobacteriaceae.
UUAAGCGACUAAGCGUACACGGUGGAUGCCCUGGCAGUCAGAGGCGAUGAAGGACGUGCUAAUCUGCGAUAAGCGUCGGUAAGGUGAUAUGAACCGUUAUAACCGGCGAUUUCCGAAUGGGGAAACCCAGUGUGUUUCGACACACUAUCAUUAACUGAAUCCAUAGGUUAAUGAGGCGAACCGGGGGAACUGAAACAUCUAAGUACCCCGAGGAAAAGAAAUCAACCGAGAUUCCCCCAGUAGCGGCGAGCGAACGGGGAGCAGCCCAGAGCCUGAAUCAGUGUGUGUGUUAGUGGAAGCGUCUGGAAAGGCGCGCGAUACAGGGUGACAGCCCCGUACACAAAAAUGCACAUGCUGUGAGCUCGAUGAGUAGGGCGGGACACGUGGUAUCCUGUCUGAAUAUGGGGGGACCAUCCUCCAAGGCUAAAUACUCCUGACUGACCGAUAGUGAACCAGUACCGUGAGGGAAAGGCGAAAAGAACCCCGGCGAGGGGAGUGAAAAAGAACCUGAAACCGUGUACGUACAAGCAGUGGGAGCCUCUUUUAUGGGGUGACUGCGUACCUUUUGUAUAAUGGGUCAGCGACUUAUAUUCUGUAGCAAGGUUAACCGAAUAGGGGAGCCGAAGGGAAACCGAGUCUUAACUGGGCGUUAAGUUGCAGGGUAUAGACCCGAAACCCGGUGAUCUAGCCAUGGGCAGGUUGAAGGUUGGGUAACACUAACUGGAGGACCGAACCGACUAAUGUUGAAAAAUUAGCGGAUGACUUGUGGCUGGGGGUGAAAGGCCAAUCAAACCGGGAGAUAGCUGGUUCUCCCCGAAAGCUAUUUAGGUAGCGCCUCGUGAAUUCAUCUCCGGGGGUAGAGCACUGUUUCGGCAAGGGGGUCAUCCCGACUUACCAACCCGAUGCAAACUGCGAAUACCGGAGAAUGUUAUCACGGGAGACACACGGCGGGUGCUAACGUCCGUCGUGAAGAGGGAAACAACCCAGACCGCCAGCUAAGGUCCCAAAGUCAUGGUUAAGUGGGAAACGAUGUGGGAAGGCCCAGACAGCCAGGAUGUUGGCUUAGAAGCAGCCAUCAUUUAAAGAAAGCGUAAUAGCUCACUGGUCGAGUCGGCCUGCGCGGAAGAUGUAACGGGGCUAAACCAUGCACCGAAGCUGCGGCAGCGACGCUUAUGCGUUGUUGGGUAGGGGAGCGUUCUGUAAGCCUGUGAAGGUGUGCUGUGAGGCAUGCUGGAGGUAUCAGAAGUGCGAAUGCUGACAUAAGUAACGAUAAAGCGGGUGAAAAGCCCGCUCGCCGGAAGACCAAGGGUUCCUGUCCAACGUUAAUCGGGGCAGGGUGAGUCGACCCCUAAGGCGAGGCCGAAAGGCGUAGUCGAUGGGAAACAGGUUAAUAUUCCUGUACUUGGUGUUACUGCGAAGGGGGGACGGAGAAGGCUAUGUUGGCCGGGCGACGGUUGUCCCGGUUUAAGCGUGUAGGCUGGUUUUCCAGGCAAAUCCGGAAAAUCAAGGCUGAGGCGUGAUGACGAGGCACUACGGUGCUGAAGCAACAAAUGCCCUGCUUCCAGGAAAAGCCUCUAAGCAUCAGGUAACAUCAAAUCGUACCCCAAACCGACACAGGUGGUCAGGUAGAGAAUACCAAGGCGCUUGAGAGAACUCGGGUGAAGGAACUAGGCAAAAUGGUGCCGUAACUUCGGGAGAAGGCACGCUGAUAUGUAGGUGAAGUCCCUUGCGGAUGGAGCUGAAAUCAGUCGAAGAUACCAGCUGGCUGCAACUGUUUAUUAAAAACACAGCACUGUGCAAACACGAAAGUGGACGUAUACGGUGUGACGCCUGCCCGGUGCCGGAAGGUUAAUUGAUGGGGUCAGCGCAAGCGAAGCUCUUGAUCGAAGCCCCGGUAAACGGCGGCCGUAACUAUAACGGUCCUAAGGUAGCGAAAUUCCUUGUCGGGUAAGUUCCGACCUGCACGAAUGGCGUAAUGAUGGCCAGGCUGUCUCCACCCGAGACUCAGUGAAAUUGAACUCGCUGUGAAGAUGCAGUGUACCCGCGGCAAGACGGAAAGACCCCGUGAACCUUUACUAUAGCUUGACACUGAACAUUGAGCCUUGAUGUGUAGGAUAGGUGGGAGGCUUAGAAGUGUGGACGCCAGUCUGCAUGGAGCCGACCUUGAAAUACCACCCUUUAAUGUUUGAUGUUCUAACGUGGACCCGUAAUCCGGGUUGCGGACAGUGUCUGGUGGGUAGUUUGACUGGGGCGGUCUCCUCCUAAAGAGUAACGGAGGAGCACGAAGGUUGGCUAAUCCUGGUCGGACAUCAGGAGGUUAGUGCAAUGGCAUAAGCCAGCUUGACUGCGAGCGUGACGGCGCGAGCAGGUGCGAAAGCAGGUCAUAGUGAUCCGGUGGUUCUGAAUGGAAGGGCCAUCGCUCAACGGAUAAAAGGUACUCCGGGGAUAACAGGCUGAUACCGCCCAAGAGUUCAUAUCGACGGCGGUGUUUGGCACCUCGAUGUCGGCUCAUCACAUCCUGGGGCUGAAGUAGGUCCCAAGGGUAUGGCUGUUCGCCAUUUAAAGUGGUACGCGAGCUGGGUUUAGAACGUCGUGAGACAGUUCGGUCCCUAUCUGCCGUGGGCGCUGGAGAACUGAGGGGGGCUGCUCCUAGUACGAGAGGACCGGAGUGGACGCAUCACUGGUGUUCGGGUUGUCAUGCCAAUGGCACUGCCCGGUAGCUAAAUGCGGAAGAGAUAAGUGCUGAAAGCAUCUAAGCACGAAACUUGCCCCGAGAUGAGUUCUCCCUGACCCUUUAAGGGUCCUGAAGGAACGUUGAAGACGACGACGUUGAUAGGCCGGGUGUGUAAGCGCAGCGAUGCGUUGAGCUAACCGGUACUAAUGAACCGUGAGGCUUAACCUU